RNAcentral lists this ribosomal RNA (253 nucleotides) under uncultured bacterium. RNAcentral's name for it is "partial 16S ribosomal RNA". It matches the Rfam family "Bacterial small subunit ribosomal RNA", at positions 524 to 776 of the family's 1533-position model. The record is from RNAcentral.
GACGAACCGUGCGAACGUUGUUCGGAAUCAUUGGGCUUAAAGGGCGCGUAGGCGGGCCCGCAAGUCAGGGGUGAAAUCCCACGGCUCAACCGUGGAAGUGCCUCUGAUACUGCGGGCCUCGAGGGGGGUAGGGGCGUGCGGAACUUCCGGUGGAGCGGUGAAAUGCGUAGAUAUCGGAAGGAACACCGGUGGCGAAGGCGGCCAACUGGACUGGUAUUGACGCUGAGGCGCGAAAGCGUGGGGAGCAAACAGG